GCAUCCGUAGCUCAGCUGGAUAGAGUACUCGGCUACGNNCUACGAACCGAGCGGUCGGAGGUUCGAAUCCUCCCGGAUGCACCA
RNAcentral lists this transfer RNA (84 nucleotides) under Klebsiella pneumoniae. RNAcentral's name for it is "tRNA-OTHER". It matches the Rfam family "tRNA". From Rfam's summary of the family: Transfer RNA (tRNA) molecules are approximately 80 nucleotides in length. Their secondary structure includes four short double-helical elements and three loops (D, anti-codon, and T loops). Further hydrogen bonds mediate the characteristic L-shaped molecular structure. tRNAs have two regions of fundamental functional importance: the anti-codon, which is responsible for specific mRNA codon recognition, and the 3' end, to which the tRNAs corresponding amino acid is attached (by aminoacyl-tRNA synthetases). tRNAs cope with the degeneracy of the genetic code in two manners: having more than one tRNA (with a specific anti-codon) for a particular amino acid; and 'wobble' base-pairing, i.e. permitting non-standard base-pairing at the 3rd anti-codon position. The record is from RNAcentral. Lineage: Bacteria; Pseudomonadati; Pseudomonadota; Gammaproteobacteria; Enterobacterales; Enterobacteriaceae.